Molecule: ribosomal RNA, 116 nt
Filed under: Priestia megaterium
Lineage: Bacteria; Bacillati; Bacillota; Bacilli; Caryophanales; Bacillaceae
Also listed under: 1 other name
Source: RNAcentral
UCUGGUGGCGAUAGCGAAGAGGUCACACCCGUUCCCAUACCGAACACGGAAGUUAAGCUCUUUAGCGCCAAUGGUAGUUGAGACUUUGUCCCUGUGAGAGUAGGACGUUGCCAGGC